Molecule: small nucleolar RNA, 123 nt
Organism: Cavia aperea (Brazilian guinea pig)
Lineage: Eukaryota; Metazoa; Chordata; Mammalia; Rodentia; Caviidae
Source: Ensembl
AGCACUUGUGUCUGUUUCCACCUAACUUGUGGACUAAGACUUAUGGGUAGGUGUAAAAGCAAAUGCUCUUUGCCACCCAGAACUCACUGUUGAGUGAGUUUUGAUGUAGAGGAGGAGUGUGGG